Molecule: non-coding RNA, 170 nt
Filed under: Firmicutes bacterium CAG:170
Lineage: Bacteria; Bacillati; Bacillota
Also listed under: 1 other name
Description: glmS glucosamine-6-phosphate activated ribozyme aptamer
Rfam family: glmS glucosamine-6-phosphate activated ribozyme aptamer
About the family: This entry contains a glucosamine-6-phosphate activated ribozyme that is found in the mRNA for GlmS. GlmS is an enzyme that uses fructose-6-phosphate and glutamine to generate glucosamine-6-phosphate. The ribozyme catalyses self cleavage of the glmS mRNA that is thought to regulate GlmS activity.
Source: Rfam by way of RNAcentral
UUCCCAUCACAAGCGCCGUGUUCCUGCGGAAGAAAACAGACUCCCGGCAGGAUGACGAGGUGAAGCGUGAUCGAAGUGAUCGGCGGAUGCGCUUCCGUGCCGCUUUUCGCGCGUGACGCAGUCAGAAAUAUGCGGGUAACUGCAAAACAGAGGGGCUGCGGGAAAAGCAC